GACGAACGCUGGCGGCGUGCUUAACACAUGCAAGUCGAACGGAAAGGCCCUGCUUUUGUGGGGUGCUCGAGUGGCGAACGGGUGAGUAACACGUGAGUAACCUGCCCAUGACUUUGGGAUAACUUCAGGAAACUGGGGCUAAUACCGGAUAGGAGCUCCUGCUGCGUGGUGGGGGUUGGAAAGUUUCGGCGGUUGGGGAUGGACUCGCGGCUUAUCAGCUUGUUGGUGGGGUAGUGGCUUACCAAGGCUUUGACGGGUAGCCGGCCUGAGAGGGUGACCGGCCACAUUGGGACUGAGAUACGGCCCAGACUCCUACGGGAGGCAGCAGUGGGGAAUAUUGCACAAUGGGCGGAAGCCUGAUGCAGCAACGCCGCGUGCGGGAUGACGGCCUUCGGGUUGUAAACCGCUUUCGCCUGUGACGAAGCGUGAGUGACGGUAAUGGGUAAAGAAGCACCGGCUAACUACGUG
This 468-nucleotide ribosomal RNA is filed under the name uncultured bacterium. Its description in RNAcentral is "partial 16S ribosomal RNA". It matches the Rfam family "Bacterial small subunit ribosomal RNA", at positions 28 to 507 of the family's 1533-position model. The record is from RNAcentral.